CUACGGGGUGCAGCAGUGAGGAAUAUUGCACAAUGGGGGGAACCCUGAUGCAGCAACGCCGCGUGGAGGAUGACGCAUUUCGGUGUGUAAACUCCUUUUAUAUGUCAAGAAAAUGACGGUAGCAUAUGAAUAAGCACCGGCUAACUCCGUGCCAGCAGGCCGCGGUAAUACGGAGGGUGCAAGCGUUACUCGGAAUCACUGGGCGUAAAGGACGCGUAGGCGGGUUGGAAAGUCAGGUGUGAAAUCCUACAGCUUAACUGUAGAACUGCACUUGAAACUUCUAAUCUAGAGUAUGGGAGGGGGAGAUGGAAUUAGUGGUGUAGGGGUAAAAUCCGUAGAUAUCACUAGGAAUACCUAAAGCGAAGGCGAUCUCCUGGAACAUUACUGACGCUAAGGCGUGAAAGCGUGGGGAGCAAACAGGAUUAGAUACCCUCGUAGUC
This 440-nucleotide ribosomal RNA is filed under the name uncultured bacterium. RNAcentral describes it as "partial 16S ribosomal RNA". It matches the Rfam family "Bacterial small subunit ribosomal RNA", at positions 339 to 795 of the family's 1533-position model. The record is from RNAcentral.